Molecule: ribosomal RNA, 254 nt
Filed under: uncultured bacterium
Lineage: Bacteria
Description: partial 16S ribosomal RNA
Rfam family: Bacterial small subunit ribosomal RNA
Source: RNAcentral
UACGGGGGGAGCAAGCGUUGUUCGGAUUUACUGGGCGUAAAGGGCGCGUAGGCGGUCAGCACAAGUCAGUUGUGAAAUCUCCGGGCUUAACUCGGAAAGGUCAACUGAUACUGUGCGACUAGAGUGCAGAAGGGGCAACUGGAAUUCCUGGUGUAGCGGUGGAAUGCGCAGAUAUCAGGAGGAACACCGAUGGCGAAGGCAGCUCGCUGGGACGGUACUGACGCUGAGGCGCGAAAGCGUGGGGAGCGAACAGG